UACGGAGGGUGCAAGCGUUAUCCGGAUUCACUGGGUUUAAAGGGUGUGUAGGCGGGUAUUUAAGUCAGUGGUGAAAUCUCCGAGCUCAACUCGGAAACUGCCAUUGAUACUAUUUAUCUUGAAUAUUGUUGAGGUAGGCGGAAUAUGUCAUGUAGCGGUGAAAUGCUUAGAUAUGACAUAGAACACCGAUUGCGAAGGCAGCUUGCUAAACAAUUAUUGACGCUGAGGCACGAAAGCGUGGGGAUCAAACAGG
Molecule: ribosomal RNA, 253 nt
Filed under: uncultured bacterium
Lineage: Bacteria
Also listed under: 1 other name
Description: partial 16S ribosomal RNA
Rfam family: Bacterial small subunit ribosomal RNA
Source: RNAcentral